This 301-nucleotide ribosomal RNA is filed under the name uncultured bacterium. RNAcentral describes it as "partial 16S ribosomal RNA". It matches the Rfam family "Bacterial small subunit ribosomal RNA", at positions 509 to 807 of the family's 1533-position model. The record is from RNAcentral.
CAGUCGCCGCGGGAAUACCGAGGGUGCAAGCGUUAAUCGGAAUUACUGGGCGUAAAGCGCGCGUAGGUGGUUCGCCAAGUUGGAUGUGAAAUCCCCGGGCUCAACCUGGGAACUGCAUCCAAAACUGGCGAGCUAGAGUAUGGUAGAGGGUGGUGGAAUUUCCUGUGUAGCGGUGAAAUGCGUAGAUAUAGGAAGGAACAUCAGUGGCGAAGGCGACCACCUGGACUGAUACUGACACUGAGGUGCGAAAGCGUGGGGAGCAAACAGGAUUAGAUACCCGUGUAGUCCCUGUCUCUUAUAC